GUAACAAGGUCUCCGUUGGUGAUCCAGCGGAGGGAUCAUUACCGAGUUUACAACUCCCAAACCCCUGUGAACAUACCACUUGUUGCCUCGGCGGAUCAGCCCGCUCCCGGUAAAACGGGACGGCCCGCCAGAGGACCCCUAAACUCUGUUUCUAUAUGUAACUUCUGAGUAAAACCAUAAAUAAAUCAAAACUUUCAACAACGGAUCUCUUGGUUCUGGCAUCGAUGAAGAACGCAGCAAAAUGCGAUAAGUAAUGUGAAUUGCAGAAUUCAGUGAAUCAUCGAAUCUUUGAACGCACAUUGCGCCCGCCAGUAUUCUGGCGGGCAUGCCUGUUCGAGCGUCAUUUCAACCCUCAAGCACAGCUUGGUGUUGGGACUCGCGUUAAUUCGCGUUCCUCAAAUUGAUUGGCGGUCACGUCGAGCUUCCAUAGCGUAGUAGUAAAACCCUCGUUACUGGUAAUCGUCGCGGCCACGCCGUUAAACCCCAACUUCUGAAUGUUGACCUCGGAUCAGGUAGGAAUACCCGCUGAACCUAAGCAUAUCA
Molecule: unclassified non-coding RNA, 543 nt
Filed under: Fusarium oxysporum
Lineage: Eukaryota; Fungi; Ascomycota; Sordariomycetes; Hypocreales; Nectriaceae
Description: sequence contains 18S rRNA gene, ITS1, 5.8S rRNA gene, ITS2, 28S rRNA gene
Rfam family: 5.8S ribosomal RNA (bases 190-343)
Source: RNAcentral